Molecule: ribosomal RNA, 258 nt
Filed under: uncultured bacterium
Lineage: Bacteria
Description: partial 16S ribosomal RNA
Rfam family: Bacterial small subunit ribosomal RNA
Source: RNAcentral
UUCCUACGGGGCGCAGCAGUAGGGAAUCUUCCACAAUGGGCGAAAGCCUGAUGGAGCAACGCCGCGUGGGUGAAGAAGGUCUUCGGAUCGUAAAACCCUGUUGUUAGAGAAGAAAGUGCGUGAGAGUAACUGUUCACGUUUCGACGGUAUCUAACCAGAAAGCCACGGCUAACUACGUGCCAGCAGCGGCGGUAAUAAGUAGGUGGCAAGCGUUAUCCGGAUUUAUUGGGCGUAAAGGUAACGCAAGCGGUCUUUUAA